RNAcentral lists this ribosomal RNA (468 nucleotides) under uncultured Anaerolineaceae bacterium. Its description in RNAcentral is "bacterial SSU rRNA". It matches the Rfam family "Bacterial small subunit ribosomal RNA", at positions 901 to 1382 of the family's 1533-position model. The record is from RNAcentral. Lineage: Bacteria; Bacillati; Chloroflexota; Anaerolineae; Anaerolineales; Anaerolineaceae.
UUAAAGGAAGUUGACGGGCCCCGCACAAGCAGCGGAGCGUGUGGUUUAAUUCGAUGCUACACGAAGAACCUUACCAGGGUUUGACAUACAAGUAGUAGGGAAAGGAAACUGGACCGACCCUUCGGGGAGCUUGUACAGGUGCUGCAUGGCUGUCGUCAGCUCGUGCCGUGAGGUGUCCGGUUAAGUCCGGUAACGAGCGCAACCCUCGCCAUAUGUUACAAGUGUCAUAUGGGACUGCCGAUAUAAAGUCGGAGGAAGGUGGGGAUGACGUCAAGUCAGCAUGGCCUUUAUGUCCGGGGCUACACACACGCUACAAUGGCCGGUACAAUAGGUAGCAAGACCGCGAGGUGGAGCCAAUCCUUAAAGCCGGUCUCAGUUCAGAUUGCAGGCUGCAACUCGCCUGCAUGAAGUCGGAGUUGCUAGUAACCGCGCGUCAGCAAUAGUGCGGUGAAUACGUUCCCGGGCCUU